UUCCUACGGGUGGCUGCAGUGGGGAAUAUUGCACAAUGGGGGAAACCCUGAUGCAGCAACGCCGCGUGAGCGAUGAAGGCCUUCGGGUCGUAAAGCUCUGUCCUAAGGGAAGAAUAAUGACGGUACCUUAGGAGGAAGCCCCGGCUAACUACGUGCCAGCAGCCGCGGUAAUACGUAGGGGGCAAGCGUUAUCCGGAAUCACUGGGCGUAAAGGGUGAGUAGGCGGCCGAUAAAGUCUGGGGUGAAAGGCUACGGCUUAACCGUAGUAAGCCUUGGAAACUUAUUGGCUUGAGUGCAGGAGAGGUAAGUGGAAUUCCUAGUGUAGCGGUGAAAUGCGUAGAUAUUAGGAGGAACACCAGUGGCGAAGGCGACUUACUGGACUGUAACUGACGCUGAGGCACGAAAGCGUGGGGAGCGAACAGGAUUAGAUACCCCAGUAGUCG
Molecule: ribosomal RNA, 443 nt
Filed under: uncultured Geosporobacter sp.
Lineage: Bacteria; Bacillati; Bacillota; Clostridia; Peptostreptococcales; Thermotaleaceae
Description: bacterial SSU rRNA
Rfam family: Bacterial small subunit ribosomal RNA
Source: RNAcentral